RNAcentral lists this ribosomal RNA (489 nucleotides) under uncultured bacterium. RNAcentral describes it as "partial 16S ribosomal RNA". It matches the Rfam family "Bacterial small subunit ribosomal RNA", at positions 29 to 506 of the family's 1533-position model. The record is from RNAcentral.
AAUGAACGCUGGCGGCAUGCCUUACACAUGCAAGUCGAACGGCAGCAUGACCUAGCUUGCUAGGUUGAUGGCGAGUGGCGAACGGGUGAGUAAUGCAUCGGAACGUGCCUUUUAGUGGGGGAUAACGUAGCGAAAGUUACGCUAAUACCGCAUAUUCUCUGAGGAGGAAAGCAGGGGACCUUCGGGCCUUGCGCUAGAAGAGCGGCCGAUGUCGGAUUAGCUAGUUGGUGAGGUAAAGGCUCACCAAGGCAACGAUCCGUAGCGGGUCUGAGAGGAUGAUCCGCCACACUGGGACUGAGACACGGCCCAGACUCCUACGGGAGGCAGCAGUGGGGAAUUUUGGACAAUGGGCGCAAGCCUGAUCCAGCCAUGCCGCGUGAGUGAAGAAGGCCUUCGGGUUGUAAAGCUCUUUCGGCUGGGAAGAAAUCGCACCCUCUAAUACAGGGUGUGGAUGACGGUAUCAGCAUAAGAAGCACCGGCUAACUACGU